UUGAACGCUGGCGGCAUGCCUUACACAUGCAAGUCGAACGGUAACAGGUCUUCGGAUGCUGACGAGUGGCGAACGGGUGAGUAAUACAUCGGAACGUGCCCGAUCGUGGGGGAUAACGCAGCGAAAGCUGUGCUAAUACCGCAUACGAUCUACGGAUGAAAGCAGGGGACCGCAAGGCCUUGCGCGGACGGAGCGGCCGAUGGCAGAUUAGGUAGUUGGUGGGAUAAAGGCUCACCAAGGCGACGAUCCGUAGCUGGGCUGAGAGGACGACCAGCCACACUGGAACUGAGACACGGUCCAGACUCCUACGGGAGGCAGCAGUGGGGAAUUUUGGACAAUGGGGGCAACCCUGAUCCAGCCAUUCCGCGUGAGUGAAGAAGGCCUUCGGGUUGUAAAGCUCUUUCAGCAGGAACGAAACGGUGGCCAUUAAUACUGGCUACUAAUGACGGUACCUGAAGAAGAAGCACCGGCUAACUACGU
RNAcentral lists this ribosomal RNA (480 nucleotides) under uncultured bacterium. RNAcentral describes it as "partial 16S ribosomal RNA". It matches the Rfam family "Bacterial small subunit ribosomal RNA", at positions 30 to 506 of the family's 1533-position model. The record is from RNAcentral.